This 200-nucleotide long non-coding RNA is filed under the name Nicotiana benthamiana. RNAcentral describes it as "long non-coding RNA (NBEN_LNC024274)". Lineage: Eukaryota; Viridiplantae; Streptophyta; Magnoliopsida; Solanales; Solanaceae. The record is from RNAcentral.
CUUAUCUUCUUCUUCUCCAGUCCAUUCUUCUUCUUCUUCAGUAACUUUUACCUGUUUUUCCUUCACUACAGAUCUAGUUCUUUUGGACAAGGAGGGUUCAGAAGAUACAGGUUUUGAAAACUUCUUUGCAGAAGUCUUGGUUCCUUUUGGUUUGGAAGUCGAAACCUCCACAGUUGUACCUCUUUCUUGAUGGAUCACUU